This 278-nucleotide small nuclear RNA is filed under the name Erinaceus europaeus (western European hedgehog). RNAcentral describes it as "7SK RNA". It matches the Rfam family "7SK RNA". Rfam says of the family: 7SK was discovered as an abundant small nuclear RNA in the mid-70s but a possible function has only recently been suggested. The record is from Rfam by way of RNAcentral. Lineage: Eukaryota; Metazoa; Chordata; Mammalia; Eulipotyphla; Erinaceidae.
GGAUGUGAGGGCAAUCUAGCUGUUACAUCUGUCACCCCAUUGAUCACCAGGGUUGAUUUGGCUGAUCCAGCUGACUAGAUGGGUGUCCCUUUCCUCUCUCAGUGCUCUAUAUGUGUCCCUCUGGAAGCUGCAUGUUAGGCCAAAGAGGAUGGCCCUCUGAGGGUAUAGAGUAGCUGCCCUCCCCUCCUAGAACCUCCAAACAAGCUCUUAAAGAAAGUCAUCUGUCAUAUUCUCCAGGUCUUUCCCUAGAAGUCUAAUUCACCAAGGUGCUAUCCUAG